UGGGAAACGUGAAUGUGCUUUGUUCGGGGACUAUGUUGAUUAGCUAAAUAACAAAAUGAGAAAGACUGGUGAAGGAUUCCCUGUUGACUGUUGUGGUGAUCCAAUUUGCUAAAGUUGAGAUUUUUAGAGAUCAAGCUUCUAUUCAAAAUGUCGUCAACACUACUAAGAUAUUAAUAAAUCCUGAUAUCCCUGAGGCUAUUGAAUUUAGGAAUAGCAUUGCUGUCCAUGGCAUUGAGGUGGAAACAAAAGUACCUGUUAUCGGUGGAAGUGCUAAACCUUCAAUGGAUGAAGAUUUUCUGCGUAUGUAUCCCAGAAAGAAAGUGUCCGAGCUUGCUGAUAUGGAAGAAGAUGGUAUCUUCGCUGUCUAUGGGGUUGUUACCUCAAUUGUCGAAGGGGAGGAUUGGUGGUAUCCCGCGUGUAAGUGCCAUAGAUCUGUCGUUCCUGAUUCUGGGCCAUACUUUUGCAAUGGAUGCUCCAAACACGUGUUUCACAUUGUGCCAAGGUUCAAAACGAAGGUCGAAGUCUCUGAUGGUGAUGCUGCUUCUGUGUUUGUUAUAUUUGAUUCAAACAUGAGUUAUAUCAUGGAGAAAUUGUGUGCUGAUUUUGUUGGAAAAGCAAAGGAAUAUUUCAUUGUUAUAAGUCUUCCUAUGCCUAAUGAUUUAUAGUUGUGAUGUUGAAAUCUUCUCCUGCGCAGGUAUGCAAUGAUAAGUCACACCCUGCUGAAUUUCAGGGACUGGUUGGUAAGAUGUUAUUUAUCAUUGAGAAGGGAAUGAAGCAUAUGAAAAUCUUUGACGGGGCCUUUAGGGUUAAAUGUGUGUGCUCCGAUUCUAAAAUUAUUGAGACUUUUUGUGUUAAAGGCCCAUGUUUUACUCCCAUUAAGACUAUGUCGGAAGUUAUUGAUGUUGACACCGACAAUAGUGAUGAUGAAUUCGUGGAAGAUUCUCAACCUCUUGCAUUUGAUGGAGUUAUCAUUGCAUAAGUACGUGUUGUUUGGAAUUUACUUAUAUUAACGUUAAGAGGAACUUGUCGGACGCGUUUGAUGGAGUUGCCAAGC
RNA transcript from Trifolium pratense (red clover), 1054 nucleotides. RefSeq lists it as uncharacterized. The transcript has 5 exons. NCBI's taxonomy places the organism in Eukaryota, Viridiplantae, Streptophyta, Magnoliopsida, Fabales, Fabaceae. The record is from RefSeq and is a predicted model, not a curated record.